GUCCUUUCAUGGGUCAUCUGCAUGGUGCUGGAGCAUUCACACUCAUGUGUGAGACAUGCCUCUCUCAAACCUGGUUAAAAUAUCAGCACAUGACCCAUCUCACA
Small nucleolar RNA from Callithrix jacchus (white-tufted-ear marmoset), 104 nucleotides. NCBI's taxonomy places the organism in Eukaryota, Metazoa, Chordata, Mammalia, Primates, Cebidae. The record is from Ensembl.